GAACGAACGCUGGCGGCAGGCCUAACACAUGCAAGUCGAACGCCGUAGCAAUACGGAGUGGCAGACGGGUGAGUAACGCGUGGGAACAUACCCCUCGGUUCGGAAUAACUCAGGGAAACGUUGAGCUAAUACCGGAUACGUCCGAGGUUUUGAUCGACCUUGGAGAAGAUUUAUCGCCGAAGGAUUGGCCCGCGUCUGAUUAGCUUGUUGGUGAGGUAAUGGCUCACCAAGGCGACGAUCAGUAGCUGGUCUGAGAGGAUGAUCAG
RNAcentral lists this ribosomal RNA (266 nucleotides) under uncultured bacterium. RNAcentral's name for it is "partial 16S ribosomal RNA". It matches the Rfam family "Bacterial small subunit ribosomal RNA", at positions 27 to 307 of the family's 1533-position model. The record is from RNAcentral.